GGUAUAGCGUUAAUAGAACAAAACUGCCAUCACAGUCGAGUCCUAGAACUGCGGUUUGGAUGUUCAUUUCAACCAUUGGAGCAGCUCUGUUCACCCAGAAGCGCUCAUCGGCACGAUGAGCCGAUGAGCAGAAGCGCUCAUUGGCACGAUGUGCACUUCUGGGUGAACCAAGCCUGGAUGAAGCCUUGGGUCAACCACGCCGGGGGAACAAGGACUGCAGUCCUUAACAGCAGCUUGCUCCAUUGUAGCAUUAGACAGUCUCGGUCACACUCACAGCUCACACUUGGCGUGUCAGCCCAGCACGGCGGGGAUUUGGAUGUCGCUUACAACCGUAGUACCCAAGAAUGGAUACGGAAGGCCACCAGAGCAGGCUUGGUCCACCCAGAAGCACUCAUGGACACAAUGAGGGCUCCUAGGCCAAACUGAACGUGUGUUUGGGAUGAUGACUCGUUGGCGGUCCAUUUUCGCGGAGUUCCCCUGAAGUGAGUCCAACAUAUGCUGCGGAGGUUGCUGCGUGUUGUGUCCAUUGACAAUGACAGUGGAGAAGCUGUGCUGAAAAAGCGUCAGCCGACACGUAAAUGGACACACUGUCAGGAGCUGUCUCAUGUCCAGAGGUUGCGCUACCUGUGGAGCACGAUUAUAUGUAAUUAUACAAGUGCCAUUGUAGUACAGCCUGCCCUUUAUUUGAGGGUCCUAUAUCCCGAUUAUUUUUCUUGUAAAUAGGCUGUGUGUAGUAAUAGUAAAGUAUGUUUUUGUGCAGUAUUCAAUCAAUACGUUUGAUGGUUAUAGUUCAUGAAUUAUUAGCCUAUAUAGGAAAGUUACCGAGAAAGUUAAAAAAAAAAAAAUCAAACGAGCAGCAGCCUGCUCUAUUGGAAUAUCAUACAGGUAGUCAAGCCU
Molecule: long non-coding RNA, 897 nt
Organism: Gadus macrocephalus (Pacific cod)
Lineage: Eukaryota; Metazoa; Chordata; Actinopteri; Gadiformes; Gadidae
Exons: 2
Source: RefSeq, a predicted model, not a curated record